This is a long non-coding RNA of Apis mellifera (honey bee), 805 nucleotides long. RefSeq lists it as uncharacterized. NCBI's taxonomy places the organism in Eukaryota, Metazoa, Arthropoda, Insecta, Hymenoptera, Apidae. The transcript has 3 exons. The record is from RefSeq and is a predicted model, not a curated record.
UUCGUUAAAGAUAUCUUAACAAUAUUAUCGAUAUCAAAAACUAUCAAAGAUAUCGAUAUUAUAUCGAUAAUCGAUAGUCGCAAUCUAGAUUGACGCGUAGAAAACAUGGAUAAUGUGAAAAAAAGUUCAAUGAUUUUGAACGAUCAAAAAGUGAAGGUUUAAUCCAUUAAGUUAGAAGGUUCAGUGAUCGAAGUUUAUUUUUCUGAACAUAUUUCUAUAAAAUAGAUUUCAUCGCACAAUUGUCGUGUGUUCAACCGAUACAGUUUAAUUAUGUCGUGCGUACAUUUAUCAAGAUCCUUUCCAGAUUCGAUAAUAGCUGUAUUUAAAUUUCACGUUUGAAGAUUUUUAGAUAUUUUUUGUGUUUGUUAAAUAGAUAUUAAUUUAAUUCAAUUAAAUAUAUGUUCAUCGCGAUUUGUGAUAAUAUGAAAUGAAUAAUUGUCUGUUUCGAGGUUAUAUUUAUGUCGUUUAUCGACAGAGAAAAAUUUCAAACAUUUCGUGUAUCUAGACAUUCAUCGAUGAAGUUUCAGGUAGUUAUUCGAAUGUCAGUUACUAUCAAGGUUAUAACAUAACCUACUGCGUAACUUUCUUGUUUCGUGUAGUGGUAUUUUUAAAAUAGAAAUGACGAUGAUGCAAGAGAAUGAAAUUUUUACAUCUAUCACGAUUAAAGAUUCAGAAUGUUAGCAAUGUUUCUAAGAAGAAGAAAAAAAAAGAAAAGGAAUAAAUAAAUGUUUAAAUUAAUAAGGAAAUCCGUGUGUCAAGUGACAACAGAAUAUUAAAUGAUUAAAGAAGGAGACGUACAAAUGAA